GACGAACGCUGGCGGCAUGCCUAAUACAUGCAAGUCGAGCGAACAGAUGAAGUGCUUGCACUUCUGACGUUAGCGGCGAACGGGUGAGUAACACGUAAGGAAUCUACCUAUAAGCGGGGGAUAACAUUCGGAAACGGGUGCUAAUACCGCAUAAUAUCUUCUUCCGCAUGGAAGAAGAUUGAAAGACGGCUCUGCUGUCACUUAUAGAUGACCUUGCGGUGCAUUAGUUAGUUGGUGGGGUAAUGGCCUACCAAGACGAUGAUGCAUAGCCGACCUGAGAGGGUGAUCGGCCACAUUGGGACUGAGACACGGCCCAUACUCCUACGGGAGGCAGCAGUAGGGAAUCUACCGCAAUGGGCGAAAGCCUGACGGAGCAAUGCCGCGUGAGUGAAGAAGGCCUUCGGGUCGUAAAACUCUGUUAUAAGAGAAGAACAAAUUGUAGAGUAACUGCUACAGUCUUGACGGUAUCUUAUCAGAAAGCCACGGCUAACUACGUGCCAGCCGCCGCAGUAA
Molecule: ribosomal RNA, 513 nt
Filed under: uncultured bacterium
Lineage: Bacteria
Description: partial 16S ribosomal RNA
Rfam family: Bacterial small subunit ribosomal RNA
Source: RNAcentral